Long non-coding RNA from Haliotis rufescens (red abalone), 246 nucleotides. RefSeq lists it as uncharacterized. The record is from RefSeq and is a predicted model, not a curated record. Lineage: Eukaryota; Metazoa; Mollusca; Gastropoda; Lepetellida; Haliotidae. The transcript is spliced from 3 exons.
UUGGGCAUUUGAACAUAACUCACAACAGACAGUUUUGGACGACAGACAUUGUCUAAGGUCUUCCUGACAGACACGCCAUGGAAAGAAUCCUGCUCGGAGUGAUUGUGGUCUCUGGCACUGUGCCUCUAACAGCCGCAGAGUGUCACUGUUAUACCACGGAUGCCUGCACUGUGUUCCCCUCCGCUCCCUGCAGCCAGGUCGGCAAUCCGGACAGUUGUCAGGUGGGAUGGUUUGGUGCGUACUGUC